CCACCCGUGUUUACUGUACCUUAGUUGCUUCGGCGGGCCCGCCAUUCAUGGCCGCCGGGGGCUCUCAGCCCCGGGCCCGCGCCCGCCGGAGACACCACGAACUCUGUCUGAUCUAGUGAAGUCUGAGUUGAUUGUAUCGCAAUCAGUUAAAACUUUCAACAAUGGAUCUCUUGGUUCCGGCAUCGAUGAAGAACGCAGCGAAAUGCGAUAACUAGUGUGAAUUGCAGAAUUCCGUGAAUCAUCGAGUCUUUGAACGCACAUUGCGCCCCCUGGUAUUCCGGGGGGCAUGCCUGUCCGAGCGUCAUUGCUGCCCAUCAAGCACGGCUUGUGUGUUGGGUCGUCGUCCCCUCUCCGGGGGGGACGGGCCCCAAAGGCAGCGGCGGCACCGCGUCCGAUCCUCGAGCGUAUGGGGCUUUGUCACCCGCUCUGUAGGCCCGGCCGGCGCUUGCCGAACGCAAAUCAAUCUUUUCCAGGUUGACCUCGGAUCAGGUAGGGAUACCCGCUGAACUUAAGCAUAUCAAUAAGG
This 526-nucleotide ribosomal RNA is filed under the name Aspergillus flavus. RNAcentral's name for it is "eukaryotic LSU rRNA". The stretch from base 151 to 304 matches the Rfam family "5.8S ribosomal RNA". Lineage: Eukaryota; Fungi; Ascomycota; Eurotiomycetes; Eurotiales; Aspergillaceae. The record is from RNAcentral.